This 177-nucleotide ribosomal RNA is filed under the name Lophomonas blattarum. Its description in RNAcentral is "partial small subunit ribosomal RNA". It matches the Rfam family "Eukaryotic small subunit ribosomal RNA", at positions 423 to 600 of the family's 1831-position model. The record is from RNAcentral. Lineage: Eukaryota; Parabasalia; Lophomonadida.
UAGCAGCAGGCGCGAAACUUUCCCACUCGAGACUUUCGGAGGAGGUAAUGACCAGUUUCAUGUAAAGCUUAUGCUUUUGUGAAUAGGAUCGCACUUUUCCAGUGCGGUGAAACCUAGCAGAGGGCCAGUCUGGUGCCAGCAGCUGCGGUAAUUCCAGCUCUGCGAGUUUGCUCCCAU